GACGAACGCUGGCGGCGUGCCUAAUACAUGCAAGUCGAACGAGAGCGCCCGGUGCUUGCACUGGUCAAUCUAGUGGCGAACGGGUGAGUAACACGUGGGUAACCUGCCCAUCAGAGGGGGAUAACAUCCGGAAACGGAUGCUAAAACCGCAUAGGUCUUCGAACCGCAUGGUUCGAUGAGGAAAAGAGGCGCAAGCUUCUGCUGAUGGUUGGACCCGCGGUGCAUUAGCUAGUUGGUGAGGUAACGGCUCACCAAGGCCGUGAUGCAUAGCCGACCUGAGAGGGUGAUCGGCCACAUUGGGACUGAGACACGGCCCAGACUCCUACGGGAGGCAGCAGUAGGGAAUCUUCCGCAAUGGACGCAAGUCUGACGGAGCAACGCCGCGUGAGUGAAGAAGGUCUUCGGAUCGUAAAACUCUGUUGUUAGGGAAGAACAAGUGCUAGAGUAACUGUUAGCGCCUUGACGGUAUCUAACCAGAAAGCCACGGCUAACUACGUG
This 498-nucleotide ribosomal RNA is filed under the name uncultured bacterium. RNAcentral's name for it is "partial 16S ribosomal RNA". It matches the Rfam family "Bacterial small subunit ribosomal RNA", at positions 28 to 507 of the family's 1533-position model. The record is from RNAcentral.